AGUCAGAUACAAAACAAAAGUAACAAAAGAAAUGGGAUGGUAACAAUCAGCCGUAUAAUUUUCUCCACCUGUAGUCAGGUCAAGGUCCUCGGUUAAAGCUUCGGACUUGACCUGACUACUCGUGCAGAAAAACUAUACGGCAACGGUUGUUAUCAGCCUGGUUUUUUUUUGUUACCUUUGUUCUGUAUCUAAUACAUGUUCAGAUUAAAAGAUAUACUGUAAUACAUGUACUAAAGGCGAGGAUUUCUUUGAAAGGGGGAUAAGACAGAAACUGGAAAUGGCAUAUAAGGGUUCCACCCAGAAUGUAUUACAUGUGAAACCAGAUAGUAUUGAACAACUGAAAGAUGUUUUGGAGAGGGCACAGCAGGGAAACCGUAUUGCAAUACCUACAGAAGGCAGCAUCGAAGAUGACUGGGCGCAUCGAAUUAG
Long non-coding RNA from Mytilus californianus (California mussel), 429 nucleotides. RefSeq lists it as uncharacterized. The transcript has 4 exons. Lineage: Eukaryota; Metazoa; Mollusca; Bivalvia; Mytilida; Mytilidae. The record is from RefSeq and is a predicted model, not a curated record.